Drosophila santomea is the source of this 414-nucleotide long non-coding RNA. RefSeq lists it as uncharacterized. The transcript has 4 exons. The record is from RefSeq and is a predicted model, not a curated record. Lineage: Eukaryota; Metazoa; Arthropoda; Insecta; Diptera; Drosophilidae.
GGAGGAUUUACCGGACAUCACCCAUUAUCGAUACGUCAGCGUCGCUCCAGACGACUACGACGGCUCCAUCUCCCUUACAGUGAACACUCACUCAAACAUUCUGGCUGUAAUCAACCUUUUUCGUCAACUGCUUAUGAAACGGUAAAAGCGACAAGUCUAGAAAGCCUUUAAGACAGCGCCUAAAAUUGCCCUCAAUUGGCGGUGCUUUUAAAGACGGUUUCUAAAACGGACGUUUACAUACCUAAUCCUGAGGAGCUCCAAGGGACAAGAAGGGAUGUGCGAAUCAAACCGGCAAUGUUCCACGACGACGACAAUUCGGGCUCGCGUUUGACUCCGGAUUGAUUAACCAAGAUCGAGCCCCAGGACUAGCAAUCGACGACUGUCGAAGGAAAUUGCGGCUCCAAUGAACAUGGC